This 335-nucleotide ribosomal RNA is filed under the name uncultured bacterium. RNAcentral describes it as "bacterial SSU rRNA". It matches the Rfam family "Bacterial small subunit ribosomal RNA", at positions 29 to 351 of the family's 1533-position model. The record is from RNAcentral.
AACGAACGCUGGCGGCGUGCUUAAUACAUGCAAGUCGUGCGAGAAAGUCCGACUUCGGUUGGGCGAGUAAAGCGGCGAACGGGUGAGUAACGCGUGGACAAUCUGCCCUUAAAUCUGGGAUAAUUCUCCGAAAGGAGUUGUAAUACCGGAUAAUAUUCCGGGACGGCAUCGUCCUGGCAUCAAAGGCGGGGUAACCUGUCGUUUAGGGAUGAAUCCGCGCUCCAUUAGCUUGUUGGUAGAGUAAUAGCCUACCAAGGCUACGAUGGAUAGCCGGCCUGAGAGGGUGAUCGGCCACACUGGGACUGAGAUACGGCCCAGACUCCUACGGGUGGCAG